RNAcentral lists this ribosomal RNA (433 nucleotides) under uncultured bacterium. RNAcentral describes it as "partial 16S ribosomal RNA". It matches the Rfam family "Bacterial small subunit ribosomal RNA", at positions 29 to 507 of the family's 1533-position model. The record is from RNAcentral.
AACGAACGCUGGCGGCAUGCCUAACACAUGCAAGUCGAACGAGACCUUCGGGUCUAGUGGCGCACGGGUGCGUAACGCGUGGGAAUCUGCCCUUGGGUUCGGAAUAGCAGUUGGAAACGACUGCUAAUACCGGAUGAUGACGUAAGUCCAAAGAUUUAUCGCCCAAGGAUGAGCCCGCGUAGGAUUAGCUAGUUGGUGAGGUAAAGGCUCACCAAGGCGACGAUCCUUAGCUGGUCUGAGAGGAUGAUCAGCCACACUGAGACUGAGACACGGCCCAGACUCCUACGGGAGGCAGCAGUGGGGAAUAUUGGACAAUGGGCGAAAGCCUGAUCCAGCAAUGCCGCGUGAGUGAUGAAGGCCUUAGGGUUGUAAAGCUCUUUUACCCGGGAUGAUAAUGACAGUACCGGGAGAAUAAGCUCCGGCUAACUCCGUG